UAAAAAGGUGGCUUUUAUAAUUCCCUCAACAAAAAAAUGGCUUUUAUGAUUGCUUAAGCAGUGCACAGUAAAACAACCUACAAACGUUGCUAAUCCACAUCUCGCAGCGUGGGAGACCCAUCAACGUAGCGCACCCUAAACGGAGCCGUUUCUUCGAGUGGAAGCAUUAACCAACAACAAUGAGCAAUUCUGCCGCCGGAACCUCAUCAAAACAAAGAGCAGCUUCCUCACAACCACCAGACACUUCAUCCAAGCGCAGAAGAGGAGUUUUCCAAAGAGAAUUGCAGCACAUGAUGUAUGGCUUCGGAGAUGAUCCUAAUCCACUUCCUGAAAGUGUGGCGCUUAUGGAUGACAUCGUUGUAGAAUAUAUUACAGAACUGGUACAUAAAGCACAAGAUAUUGGAUCACAGAGGGGGAAGCUAUCAGUUGAGGAUUUCCUCUAUUUGAUUCGCAAGGCAAUAAGCAUGCUAUGUCACAGUGGCCUGCAAUGGUGGUUUAAAGUUAAUAGUUGGGAAGUUGUUAGUUGUUAGUUAGUUACUGGUAUUAGUCUCCAAUUCAAUUUUUAUACGAGUCUUUAAAGGUCUUCUACAGAGAAUUCUUUCUCAAGUAGGAUAUUCCCAAGCUUCUAUAAGCCAAAGUCGGUAUUAAUGGUUCUUAAACUUCAAACCUGUGAAUCAGUUCCUAAUCCUAAAUAACCUGUAUUGGUUCAAUAAUCGGUUAUCUAAUGUAUCUGUCAAAUCUGAGGUUAGGAUCUAUAAUCUUGCCUUAAAUCGCUUAACUCUUUGGAUCAACAGGGUAAUUGUAUGGUACAUUAUUCAUUAACAAUGAAUAUGGGCACUGUUAGCACUAUAAUAGCCGGACUGCUGGACACAGUUCUGUUGUUGACUAUACGCUGCCAACUUCCUCAUCUUAAACUUGAUUGACCAUGGUGCUGUCCUUUGGACCCCACUCAUGCAUAAUUAUGCUGUACAUAUAUCUCUUGUUUUGAUUGUACAUUUUUGUUGAGAUUUCCCUCCCUUCUUCCAUAGGCUUUAUAGUUCUAGGACAAUUUAUCAGAUUAACAUUAGAUCUCUUAUCAUUGAUCAAACUUUGGGUUGAGUGAACUUUGUCUUUUGAGGAUUAAUAAGUGCUACUAAUGAAGCUAAAUGCACCAUAAGAUGCUAAGAUUAUGUGUUGCAGCCUCCUUGCAGAGGAUAUGCCAAAACUUAACCGUUGUACAGAACUGUUGUCUAUGAAUGAAGAGCUAAAACAAGCAAGGAAACUUUUUGAACAUGAUGAAGAGAAUCUGAGGAAGGUUUUUGAGGUGGAUGAACCAGCAGAAGGAUGAAUGGUUGAGAUUAUUGAACUGCAACGAAGCUGUAUUCUAGAUUGUCACUGACAUGUUCUCACCUUGUUGACUAUCAUGUAUUUCACUUUUGAGAGCAACUUUAUUUGAUCUUCAUACUCGAAUAUAACGUGUAUAUAUAAUGCCACAUAACUCGUUCCAGCAGUUUACUAGCAUGUUUGAAGUUGUGUUCAAACUCUUUCAAAACACGUUUGCUCUAUUCUAACAUGAUUUUGGUUAAAAAUUA
Medicago truncatula (barrel medic) is the source of this 1571-nucleotide RNA transcript. It is a transcript of the gene named transcription initiation factor TFIID subunit 13, with no coding region annotated. The record is from RefSeq and is a predicted model, not a curated record. Lineage: Eukaryota; Viridiplantae; Streptophyta; Magnoliopsida; Fabales; Fabaceae. The transcript has 7 exons.